Molecule: RNA transcript, 1173 nt
Organism: Triticum dicoccoides
Lineage: Eukaryota; Viridiplantae; Streptophyta; Magnoliopsida; Poales; Poaceae
Exons: 4
Source: RefSeq, a predicted model, not a curated record
UUUCUAUCUCCUCGCCUUUUCUGGAGCGGUCAUCCCCUUCUACUUCCUUCCAAUGCGAGCAGCGGCGGCUGAGGCUCAAAAAAUCUCCAACCCUAGUGGCCCUAAUGGCGAGCCCGUCCCCAUAUAGCUCGCGAACGACGACGGCGGUGUAGAUCUUGGCCACUGGAGGCACUGGUCCAUCUCCGCCCCGAUGAAUCCUGGACAUCUCGUCGCCGGCGGCCGGUCUGCCCGGGCGAACCUCUCUUCUGCUGCGCCGCGACGCUGCCCGAGAAAAUCCCCAGGUGGCUCCUCGAUCUACCAUUUGUUGCCCCAUCUAACCUCCAACAUCUGCUUACGGCAGAGAAGAAACAUAGUGUCCCUCGAGUCUUCAGGAAUGCAGAUGCUCCUAACGGAAGAGGUCCUAACUCAGAAGGACUCAUUGUUUCAUCUGGAACGGCCAUUUCCUUGAACAAAAAGCAGGACAUGGCUGGAUGAAUAUGUUAAACAAACAUACCUUCUGUUUUUCUUGCAUCUUCUGGAUUCUUUUGCACUCUCGUUAUCUUUGGUCUUCGCAAUGCCAACUUGUUUACCUCGAUUAUUAUGAUGCAGCAAUUAUUUUCUAUGCCUAAACUACAUUAGAACUCUUGCCAUAAGUUGUGCCCUUGUUCUGGUCCAUGUGCUCGACAUCUCACAUGCGAAAGAUGAUCUCCUUUCUGACUUUGCAAUUCUCAUCCCAGGAUCUAGUAAUGGAAGAGAUCAGUAGUGCAACAUCACCAUUAGGAGAGCCCAUGGUUCCAAUGAUCGCAAACUGUGCACCAACACUAUCAGAGAUUAAUUCCCCAAUUCUUCUCGUUGCUGAUUUCAGUACACUGAAAAAGAAACAGUCAAUAUCUCAAGAGUCAAGAGGUACCCACGUUGUGGAAAUAGUUUGCAUGGUUGAUGAAACUGCCGGUUCUGAAAGCUCAAUGUCAUGGUUUGGUUACCCUAUGAGAAUCCUGUGUGAAAUUGAGGAGCUAAGCCAAGCCUUUUGUACUUUUACUCUUUCUUUUAUUCGUAGAGGCUACUAUAUGUGUCUACUUGUGUGCUAAGCUACCCAUUCGUGACUGGAGGUUGUGGGGUAAUGCUUCUCUGAAUCAACUUGCUAUUUGUAUCCAAACUGAGAGUAAACUUGAGCUCCUUUGAUUGUGGAAAAAA